This 223-nucleotide ribosomal RNA is filed under the name Klebsiella pneumoniae. RNAcentral describes it as "partial 23S ribosomal RNA". It matches the Rfam family "Bacterial large subunit ribosomal RNA", at positions 2126 to 2348 of the family's 2925-position model. The record is from RNAcentral. Lineage: Bacteria; Pseudomonadati; Pseudomonadota; Gammaproteobacteria; Enterobacterales; Enterobacteriaceae. RNAcentral also lists the same sequence under 4 other names.
GAGCCUUGAUGUGUAGGAUAGGUGGGAGGCUUUGAAGCGUGGACGCCAGUCUGCGUGGAGCCAACCUUGAAAUACCACCCUUUAAUGUUUGAUGUUCUAACGUUGGCCCCUGACCGGGGUUGCGGACAGUGUCUGGUGGGUAGUUUGACUGGGGCGGUCUCCUCCCAAAGCGUAACGGAGGAGCACGAAGGUUAGCUAAUCCUGGUCGGACAUCAGGAGGUUA